RNAcentral lists this ribosomal RNA (416 nucleotides) under uncultured bacterium. RNAcentral describes it as "bacterial SSU rRNA". It matches the Rfam family "Bacterial small subunit ribosomal RNA", at positions 506 to 920 of the family's 1533-position model. The record is from RNAcentral.
GGCCAGCAGCCGCGGUAAUACGGAGGGUGCAAACGUUGCUCGGAAUCAUUGGGCGUAAAGCGCGCGUAGGCGGUCCGGUUAGUCGGGUGUGAAAGCCCUAGGCUUAACCUAGGAAGUGCAUCCGAAACUGCCGGGCUAGAGUACCGGAGAGGGCGACGGAAUUCCCGGUGUAGAGGUGAAAUUCGUAGAUAUCGGGAGGAACACCAGCGGCGAAGGCGGUCGCCUGGACGGAUACUGACGCUGAGGCGCGAAAGCGUGGGGAGCAAACAGGAUUAGAUACCCUGGUAGUCCACGCCGUAAACGAUGGGUGCUAGUCGUCGCGGGUAUUGACCCCCGCGGUAACGUAGCUAACGCGUUAAGCACCCCGCCUGGGGAGUACGGCCGCAAGGCUAAAACUUAAAGGAAUUGGCGGGGGA